GAGCUAUGACCACACCACUGCAUUCCAGCCUGGGCGACAGAGUGAGACCCUAUCUCAAAACAAGCAAAUGAAAAACCUUUUAGUGUAUGUGCUGCCGAAGCAAGCACAUGAAAAACUUUCAACAACAAAUGUAAAGUAAACCUGCACUGCCUCAGUGGACUCACCUGGAACAGACCCCUCAGCGCUGGGAGCAUGCGUUUGAGAGCAGUCAGAAAUAUAAGGAAGGAAAAUUCAUCAUUGAGCUUGCUCACAUGAUCAAAGACAAUGGCUGGGAGUAAAGUGCGAACUUUCCCUUCUCCUUCGAAUGCUGUUUUGUGAAAGAAACUGAAUGUAAUGGAAACGUAGGAGCAGCCGGUGGCAGCCUUUCUUGCCCUGUGACCUCAAAGGCUAGCUGCGCAUAGCUCUUGACACUCUCGGCCAUCUCUGUGGGUAAGGUGUCCCCUCAGAUCUGUCCUCUUCAUGUACAUGGUUGUUUCUGAAAAUCUUCAGUGAGCUUUUUCUAACUUCUCAAGUUCUAGAGAAAGAAUUAACCAACUGAUGACUUA
This is a long non-coding RNA of Cercocebus atys (sooty mangabey), 545 nucleotides long. RefSeq lists it as uncharacterized. The record is from RefSeq and is a predicted model, not a curated record. Lineage: Eukaryota; Metazoa; Chordata; Mammalia; Primates; Cercopithecidae. The transcript is spliced from 2 exons.